This is a long non-coding RNA of Saccostrea echinata, 401 nucleotides long. RefSeq lists it as uncharacterized. The transcript is spliced from 3 exons. Lineage: Eukaryota; Metazoa; Mollusca; Bivalvia; Ostreida; Ostreidae. The record is from RefSeq and is a predicted model, not a curated record.
GAUCUUUUGCAUUGUGUACCACAAUAUACUGUCAGAAAUUUUAAAUGUUUUCUUGUGUUUCGCAUCUUGUUUAUGUGUCAUGCAAAGUUCGAAGGUUUCAUAUUAAAAACGAAAGUAGAGUCGGUCACGCCAUGUGUUAUGGGCCGGGGAAACGUUCAGUCUGCCUGGCUUAUAUAUAGGUAGAAAGAUUGAUUUCAGAUGAGAAAUUAUUAAUGUUCAUGGCUACUCAGAACACGGCAGGGAGAAGUUUAUGUUAUGAACAUUUCUUAUCAACAAACCCUGUAAGAAGAAGGACCUCUGUUCUACAGCUUGUGGUGGAUCAUAGAACACAUGAUAUCAACCAAGUUUAAAGGAAGCAUAGAUAGCCACAAUAGAAAGAUUUAAGGAUUGUGAGAAACCAA